Molecule: ribosomal RNA, 797 nt
Filed under: Salmonella enterica
Lineage: Bacteria; Pseudomonadati; Pseudomonadota; Gammaproteobacteria; Enterobacterales; Enterobacteriaceae
Description: partial 23S ribosomal RNA
Rfam family: Bacterial large subunit ribosomal RNA
Source: RNAcentral
GUGCUGUGAGCUCGAUGAGUAGGGCGGGACACGUGGUAUCCUGUCUGAAUAUGGGGGGACCAUCCUCCAAGGCUAAAUACUCCUGACUGACCGAUAGUGAACCAGUACCGUGAGGGAAAGGCGAAAAGAACCCCGGCGAGGGGAGUGAAAAAGAACCUGAAACCGUGUACGUACAAGCAGUGGGAGCACAGGUUUACCUGUGUGACUGCGUACCUUUUGUAUAAUGGGUCAGCGACUUAUAUUCUGUAGCAAGGUUAACCGUAUAGGGGAGCCGAAGGGAAACCGAGUCUUAACCGGGCGUUAAGUUGCAGGGUAUAGACCCGAAACCCGGUGAUCUAGCCAUGGGCAGGUUGAAGGUUGGGUAACACUAACUGGAGGACCGAACCGACUAAUGUUGAAAAAUUAGCGGAUGACCUGUGGCUGGGGGUGAAAGGCCAAUCAAACCGGGAGAUAGCUGGUUCUCCCCGAAAGCUAUUUAGGUAGCGCCUCGUGAAUUCAUCUCCGGGGGUAGAGCACUGUUUCGGCUAGGGGGCCAUCCCGGCUUACCAACCCGAUGCAAACUGCGAAUACCGGAGAAUGUUAUCACGGGAGACACACGGCGGGUGCUAACGUCCGUCGUGAAGAGGGAAACAACCCAGACCGCCAGCUAAGGUCCCAAAGUCAUGGUUAAGUGGGAAACGAUGUGGGAAGGCCCAGACAGCCAGGAUGUUGGCUUAGAAGCAGCCAUCAUUUAAAGAAAGCGUAAUAGCUCACUGGUCGAGUCGGCCUGCGCGGAAGAUGUAACGGGGCUAAACCAU